Molecule: ribosomal RNA, 210 nt
Filed under: uncultured cyanobacterium
Lineage: Bacteria; Bacillati; Cyanobacteriota
Description: partial 16S ribosomal RNA
Rfam family: Bacterial small subunit ribosomal RNA
Source: RNAcentral
GGGGAAUUUUCCGCAAUGGGCGAAAGCCUGACGGAGCAAGACCGCGUGAGGGAGGAAGGCUCUUGGGUUGUAAACCUCUUUUCUCAGGGAAGAAGAAAGUGACGGUACCUGAGGAAUCAGCCUCGGCUAACUCCGUGCCAGCAGCCGCGGUAAUACGGAGGAGGCAAGCGUUAUCUGGAAAUAUUGAGUGUUAAGCAUCGGCAUGAGAUA